GCGGCCGUGGUCUAGUGGUUAGGACGGUGUGAGAUUUUAAUUCCGUAAGCCUCCCGAGCCACCGAUCCCGGGUUCAAAUCCCGGCGGCCGCA
Molecule: transfer RNA, 92 nt
Filed under: Candidatus Bathyarchaeota archaeon
Lineage: Archaea; Thermoproteati; Candidatus Bathyarchaeota
Also listed under: 1 other name
Description: tRNA-OTHER
Rfam family: tRNA
About the family: Transfer RNA (tRNA) molecules are approximately 80 nucleotides in length. Their secondary structure includes four short double-helical elements and three loops (D, anti-codon, and T loops).
Source: RNAcentral